Long non-coding RNA from Lineus longissimus, 1362 nucleotides. RefSeq lists it as uncharacterized. The transcript has 3 exons. The record is from RefSeq and is a predicted model, not a curated record. NCBI's taxonomy places the organism in Eukaryota, Metazoa, Nemertea, Pilidiophora, Heteronemertea, Lineidae.
UUUGGAUCCGACUUUUAGUCCGGAAGAUGAUUUUGUUGAUUUGAUAGAGUUUUUGUAAAUUACUCAUGUCAGGGGAGGGGGAGGUCACGCGCUAUAAUCAGUCCACGGAAAAAUCUCAUAAAAAGGCGUUUUGGCCUCGAGGAACGAAAAUAAAUCGUGGUUAACUUGACAUCCCUUUGCAAACAAACGCAUAGCAAGGCGAUUAUUAUCCUCCGAAUUGACUGAACGAAAUAGCGGUUUCCCGUCGCGAUCGCAGUGAUACAGCAAUGUUUCAAGUGUGGAUUUAGCUGCGAACGAACGACUUCAACACUGUCUGCAUUAUAUGACAGUAUAAAUUCGUCUCGAAAAAAUAAAAUUCGCGCAAUUUCCCGUCGUUUAACCCGUCUAUUUGCCUACGCCCCGAAACUGUUUCGAUUGAGUCAGAAAGGGUAAUAUCACGAAGACGCGCACGGCGAUGGUGUUGCAAUCCUGCCUCUGGGAUUCACUACUGAAAAUGCCGCCAACAAUAUACCAAAUUGGACCAGUUCGACCUUUCAGAGGUAAAAACAUGCAUCAAAUGAGCCCCAAGACGACCAAAAUUUAACUACAUAAAAUUUACAGCCAAUGAUCGGAACGUUCUUGUGGGUUCGACGUCUACAUGAGGAGACCUAACCAUUAUCUAGAGACAUCGCCCCGAUAGGAAUUUUGAGAAUGCUUAUUAUCCCAGUCUCGAUAGAAGAUCGAUCUGGCGUUCAGGGAGCUGCUAUAAAGCGCUCAUUUGAACCCGACAAUUAGAGUAACUAAGUAGGCACUCGACCGAGAUUGGAACUCCCAACCGCUUAAUCAUUUUGCUGGUACUAUACAAUCAUCAUGGCUACCGUGGUUGCCUUUGAGUAUUUCAAGAAGUUUGCAACUGACUGGGCAAUUUUAGAACAAGACUUGGCCAAUCAAAAUGUCGUUUCACAACUGGCGUGUGCCAUAUUGUGCGUGCGACUGAAAUGCUUAACGUUUGUAGACCUACGUGAUGAUGAAUUACGUGUGUGUCAGCUGAGUAAAAAGAAGGGUUCGUGUAUGGAAAAGGAGGAGGCCUUCAGAGAAGUAGGAUCCAGGAUGUAUCAGAAGAAGGUAAUUGUAUGGCAGUGACUUCGCACUUAUGCUAUCAUCAGGAUAGCAACACCGGUCCAGUUUGGGUAAGAUGAGACUAUGUCACCAUGGUGACGCAAAAUAAACAUAUAUUUUUGAAUCGCCAAUGGUUUGACGUUCGUUUCUCUCAAAUACGUACUUAUUCCUUUUUCCAAAAGGUAUUUCUGAAACUCUCUUGCUUAUUUCUUGUUUAAAACAUGGAUUACCUUUCACUCGAUUUAUGUCUAUCGAUUUGUGAUA